RNAcentral lists this transfer RNA (66 nucleotides) under Trigonopterus sp. 5 AH-2016. RNAcentral's name for it is "tRNA-Pro". The record is from RNAcentral. Lineage: Eukaryota; Metazoa; Arthropoda; Insecta; Coleoptera; Curculionidae.
CAGGGUAUAGUUUAUAUAAAAUUUUAAUUUUGGAGAUUAAUGAAAAAGGUUUAACUUUUUCCCUGA